Molecule: long non-coding RNA, 446 nt
Filed under: Rattus norvegicus (Norway rat)
Lineage: Eukaryota; Metazoa; Chordata; Mammalia; Rodentia; Muridae
Description: long non-coding RNA NONRATT017229
Source: RNAcentral
AGGGAGCCAUCUCCAUGGCGGCUAGCAGAGGAGCCACUGGGAGGCCCACAGGGUGCGCACAGAGCCGCGGUUCUUGGUCCCUGGAACAUAAGAUGCUGAGGGUCCCAAAGAUCAAACCUUCUGCCAGUUCCCAGAUCAUCAAACCCUAACCAGCCUUGUCCCUGUGACCCGCCACCAGCUAUAAAGCUGGGAACCGAACCCAGGGCCUUGCGCUUCCUAGGCAAGCGCUCUACCACUGAGCUAAAUCCCCAACCCCGAUCCUUUCCUCUUGAAUGGCCGAGUGCCCAGGAAUGACUGCAUCUGGGAACUGGGAAGGAGAAGAAACAAUGGCACCCGGAGAAAAAGGAUUCCUACCAGGUUACAGCGCACGGGAGGGAGGCUGUUUUUAUCUUUCCGAACCUUAGGAAGCCUGUGCCAAAAAAUAAAUGUGGAUUGAGAAUAACCCC